Molecule: ribosomal RNA, 292 nt
Filed under: uncultured bacterium
Lineage: Bacteria
Description: partial 16S ribosomal RNA
Rfam family: Bacterial small subunit ribosomal RNA
Source: RNAcentral
GUGGAUUAGAUACCCUGGUAGUCCACGCCGUAAACGAUGAUAACUAGCUGUCCGGGCACAUGGUGCUUGGGUGGCGCAGCUAACGCAUUAAGUUAUCCGCCUGGGGAGUACGGUCGCAAGAUUAAAACUCAAAGGAAUUGACGGGGGCCUGCACAAGCGGUGGAGCAUGUGGUUUAAUUCGAAGCAACGCGCAGAACCUUACCAGCCUUUGACAUCCUGGUCGCGGAUUAGAGAGAUCUUUUCCUUCAGUUCGGCUGGACCAGUGACAGGUGCUGCACGGCCGUCGUCAGCU